UACGAAGGGGGCUAGCGUUGCUCGGAAUUACUGGGCGUAAAGCGCACGUAGGCGGAUUGUUAAGUCGGGGGUGAAAUCCUGGAGCUCAACCUCGGAACUGCCUUUGAUACUGCAAGUCUCGAGUCCGAUAGAGGUGGGUGGAAUUCCUAGUGUAGAGGUGAAAUUCGUAGAUAUUAGGAAGAACACCGGUGGCGAAGGCGGCCCACUGGAUCGGUACUGACGCUGAGGUGCGAAAGCUAGGGGAGCAAACAGG
Molecule: ribosomal RNA, 253 nt
Filed under: uncultured bacterium
Lineage: Bacteria
Description: partial 16S ribosomal RNA
Rfam family: Bacterial small subunit ribosomal RNA
Source: RNAcentral